CAUUAGCUAGUCGGCGGGGUAACGGCCCACCGAGGCGACGAUGCGUAGGGGUUCUGAGAGGAAGGUCCCCCACACUGGUACUGAGACACGGACCAGACUCCUACGGGAGGCAGCAGUGAGGAAUAUUGGUCAAUGGGCGCGAGCCUGAACCAGCCAAGUCGCGUGAGGGAUGACGGUCCUACGGAUUGUAAACCUCUUUUGCCGGGGAGCAAGCGUGCGUUCGUGAACGCGCGUCGAGAGUACCCGGAGAAAAAGCAUCGGCUAACUCCGUGCCAGCAGCCGCGGUAAUACGGAGGAUGCGAGCGUUAUCCGGAUUUAUUGGGUUUAAAGGGUGCGUAGGCGGGAUGCCAAGUCAGCGGUAAAAAUGCGGUGCUCAACGCCGUCGAGCCGUUGAAACUGGCGUUCUUGAGUGGGCGAGAAGUAUGCGGAAUGCGUGGUGUAGCGGUGAAAUGCAUAGAUAUCACGCAGAACUCCGAUUGCGAAGGCAGCAUACCGGCGCCCUACUGACGCUGAGGCACGAAAGCGUGGGUAUCGAACAGGAUUAGAUACCCUGGUAGUCCACGCAGUAAACGAUGAAUGCUAACUGUCCGGCUCGAAUGAGCGCUGG
This 607-nucleotide ribosomal RNA is filed under the name uncultured bacterium. Its description in RNAcentral is "bacterial SSU rRNA". It matches the Rfam family "Bacterial small subunit ribosomal RNA", at positions 239 to 842 of the family's 1533-position model. The record is from RNAcentral.